UGGGAGUGACAGCCUGUCGAAAGAUGGUUUUCUUCGGACACUCUUCAAGGUGCUGCAUGGUUGUCGUCAGCUCGUGCCGUGAGGUGUCGGUUAAGUCCCAUAACGAGCGCAACCCUUACCGUUAGUUACCAUCAGGUUAAGCUGGGGACUCUAGCGGGACUGCCACCGUAAGGUGAGAGGAAGGUGGGGAUGACGUCAAAUCAGCACGGCCCUUAUGUCCAGGGCUACACACGUGUUACAAUGGCCGGUACAAAGGGCAGCUACUUCGCGAGAAGAUGCUAAUCUCGAAAGCUGGUCUCAGUUCGGAUCGAAGUCUGCAACCCGACUUCGUGAAGCUGGAUUCGCUAGUAAUCGCGCAUCAGCCAUGGCGCGGUGAAUACGUUCCCGGGCCUU
Molecule: ribosomal RNA, 393 nt
Filed under: uncultured Sphingobacteriales bacterium
Lineage: Bacteria; Pseudomonadati; Bacteroidota; Sphingobacteriia; Sphingobacteriales
Description: bacterial SSU rRNA
Rfam family: Bacterial small subunit ribosomal RNA
Source: RNAcentral